This 504-nucleotide ribosomal RNA is filed under the name uncultured bacterium. RNAcentral's name for it is "partial 16S ribosomal RNA". It matches the Rfam family "Bacterial small subunit ribosomal RNA", at positions 30 to 523 of the family's 1533-position model. The record is from RNAcentral.
AUUGAACGCUGGCGGCAUGCCUUACACAUGCAAGUCGAACGGCAGCAUGGAGAGCUUGCUCUCUGAUGGCGAGUGGCGAACGGGUGAGUAAUGCAUCGGAACGUACCGUGUAAUGGGGGAUAACGUAGCGAAAGUUACGCUAAUACCGCAUACGACCUGAGGGUGAAAGCAGGGGAUCGCAAGACCUUGCGUUAUACGAGCGGCCGAUGUCAGAUUAGCUAGUUGGUGAGGUAAAGGCUCACCAAGGCGACGAUCUGUAGCGGGUCUGAGAGGAUGAUCCGCCACACUGGGACUGAGACACGGCCCAGACUCCUACGGGAGGCAGCAGUGGGGAGUUUUGGACAAUGGGGGCAACCCUGAUCCAGCCAUGCCGCGUGAGUGAAGAAGGCCUUCGGGUUGUAAAGCUCUUUCGGCCGGGAAGAAAUCGCACAGGCUAAUACUCUGUGUGGAUGACGGUACCGGCAUAAGAAGCACCGGCUAACUACGUGCCAGCAGCCGCAGUAA